GAAGUAACUAGUCUUGCUUUUUCGGGUGAAUAUAAUCACUCAAACGUCAUUGACGCACGAUUUUUCGAUUUUGCAGUCUUUUAAUCAGCCGUACGACUGACUGGUCAACUAACAAAGCUAUAAAUGGCUACAGCCAAAACUGAGGAAUCAUUUAGUCAAGUCAUUCGUAUGAAUGUUGCCCUGUUAAAAUUUUCCGGGACCAUUCCGAUGGACGAUGAGAUUUCCUCGAAGACGCUCCUCAGCUGCGGCUUGACCAUCAUUUCCGGCGCCGCACUGAUACUUCACACUUCGGCCUAUAUCUACGACUUUCUCAUUCACGCGGCUUUCUUGGAGACAGCGAUCGAGUCCCUCGCCUUGAUAAUCGCCCUUUUCGGAGGACUUGUACGUUACCUGAUUGCCUACUGGUUACGAGGCGAUAUGCAUAAAAUAUUGCGGACCCUCGACGAUCUGUGGAAGACUGCAUCCGAUGAUGAGCGUCGAUGUGUCAAUUCGCUAAUGAAAGGCGCGAAAAACCUCACCUACUUCUUCUUGUCGCAGUGCAUAUUCACAAUAUUUUUUUACACAAUCGCGCCACUCUUCGUCCAUUUACACGACAGUAACUCAAACGCGACCAGAAGUUUACCUUACGCCUUUUUUACCGAGGUAAAUCAGUCACCCUGCUACGAAAUUCUCUACUUUAUUCAGGUUUUUAGUAUGCUUAAUGUCGGUGUGACUUGUGUCGGCGUUGACAUGGCUGGACCACUUUUGAUAACAACCGUCUGCGGACACUUGAGAGUUAUCCGGAACCGAUUCAGAAGUAUGGAACAAUCGAUGAAGAUUCAAAUGAACGACAAGAGCGACAAAAUCAUUCCUCGUAUCUCUGACCGCUAUAACCAAGCAAUAGUGGAUUCCAGGUUGGAAAUCGGAAUAAACAAUCCUGUAGAAACGUCAGUGGCGUCUGAGCUUAGGUCUUGUCUUAAUUAUCACAAAAUAAUUCUCAAAAUAUGCAUGCACAUCGAACGAUUAACGAAGAUCAUAUUUCUCACGCAACUUAUCGGGAGCACUUACAUCUUAUCAGCGGUUGGGUUCAAAUUGACCGGGAAUGACCAGGACAAAUUCAAGUACUCUUCGCAAAUUGUCAUUGGACUGGUUCAACUCCUAAUAUGCAACUGGCCACCGCACGAUCUGAUGACAGAGCAAUUGCAGACGCUGCUUAUUUUGUCCCGUGGUAUCAUUGGCCAAGUGCCCUUCAAAAAUCUAUUCAAAUCGUGAUCCUGAGAGCUCAAAAGCCGGUCCGAUUGACAGCUGGAAAAUUCGUGUACCUCUCCCUGGAAACUUUUGCAUCGAUGGUUUCAUCGGCUGUCUCCUUUUUCACGGUGCUAAGGUCAUUCAAUCAGGACAAACAACUGUAAUCAGCAAACUCGAUACACCGACGAAAAACAAUCUACUGAGCUUAUUUCAAUUCGAAUACAUGUGCUGUGUAAAUUUUCCAAUUCUUAAAUAUUUUUUUCACUUUCAUGAUCAUGCUGCGCACGAACUGUGAAGCCCUGUCAAAUCUCGAUUACGAUAUUUGAUUCACUAGUCAUUCAAAACGUCAAUGGCGAUGGUCCUUUUGCCGAAGCUGAGUAAUAGACGUGAAAAUGGUUGCAUAUCUCACUAACACUGAUCUCGCAUAUCUGUAAAGUGAGACGACGAAGGUUAUAAACGUUACUCGAAAAGAU
RNAcentral lists this unclassified non-coding RNA (1700 nucleotides) under Neodiprion pinetum (white pine sawfly). RNAcentral's name for it is "odorant receptor 49b-like, transcript variant X1". Lineage: Eukaryota; Metazoa; Arthropoda; Insecta; Hymenoptera; Diprionidae. The record is from RNAcentral.